Molecule: long non-coding RNA, 678 nt
Organism: Cebus imitator (Panamanian white-faced capuchin)
Lineage: Eukaryota; Metazoa; Chordata; Mammalia; Primates; Cebidae
Exons: 2
Source: RefSeq, a predicted model, not a curated record
CGAGCUAGUGACAGAAACGGACGCCGGAAGCUGGACGGUCCGCUAGCCCACCGCCGACUGAGAGCGGGAGCCGACUCCGCCCUAAAGAGCAUGUGGAAGAGGGGACAGAUCAAUACCCCAUCUUCCUGCCCUCCAUCAGUCCACCCUGGUAUGAUGUGCCCAAGCAGUUCUGAAUAAUCUUCCCGGAAAAAAAAUAAAGCAACUGCAAUGAGUUUGUGCAAUGAUCCUAACAGUAAUGAAUAAUAAUAACACACCACUGACAGCGAGCGCUGAGCGCUCAUGGCGUGCAAGGCACCAUGCAGAGGGUUUCCCUCACAUGUCCUUUAAGGAUAGAAAGAGGGACAAAGAGGAAAUUCUGUUAGGUGCAGGUCAGUGAACUCUGAAUAGGUCAUGUACCAGCUGAGACUCAGAAACCUGCAGGGAUCUGGCUGAUGGGCAGGAUGCAUGCCGGCUGCACCGUGAGUCAGCACCAGGCUGGGAGUCGCAGCCACUCGGGAUCCAAGGGACUCAAACAUCUGCACCCUGGCCCCAGGCCAAGAGAACAAGCUGCAGCGGCCCUGUAGGGUAGGCUCAAAAUGAAACAACUUUGUUAUUUCUUAGUGGAUGGGAACUGAAGGAACCUGAACAACCAGUGCACAAGGAUUCGUAAAUGGACCAAACGUGCUUGCUUUCUGUUCU